UUAAUCGGAAUUACUGGGCGUAAAGCGCAUGCAGGCGGCCUGUUAAGUCAGAUGUGAAAGCCCCGGGGCUUAACCUCGGAAUUGCAUUUGAAACUGGCAGGCUAGAGUCUUGUAGAGGGGGUAGAAUUUCAGGUGUAGCGGUGAAAUGCGUAGAGAUCUGAAGGAAUACCAGUGGCGAAGGCGGCCCCCUGGACAAAGACUGACGCUCAGAUGCGAAAGCGUGGGGAGCAAACAGGAUUAGAUACCCUGGUAG
Molecule: ribosomal RNA, 253 nt
Filed under: uncultured bacterium
Lineage: Bacteria
Description: partial 16S ribosomal RNA
Rfam family: Bacterial small subunit ribosomal RNA
Source: RNAcentral